AUUAAACGCUGGCGGCAUGCCUUACACAUGCAAGUCGAACGGCAGCACGGGGGCAACCCUGGUGGCGAGUGGCGGACGGGUGAGUAAUACAUCGGAACGUGCCCUGGAGUGGGGGAUAACGCAGCGAAAGCUACGCUAAUACCGCAUAUUCUGUGAGUAGGAAAGCAGGGGAUCGCAAGACCUUGCGCUUUGGGAGCGGCCGAUGUCGGAUUAGCUAGUUGGUGGGGUAAAGGCCUACCAAGGCGACGAUCCGUAGCGGGUCUGAGAGGAUGAUCCGCCACACUGGGACUGAGACACGGCCCAGACUCCUACGGGAGGCAGCAGUGGGGAAUUUUGGACAAUGGGCGGAAGCCUGAUCCAGCCAUGCCGCGUGAGUGAAGAAGGCCUCGGUUGUAAG
RNAcentral lists this ribosomal RNA (397 nucleotides) under uncultured bacterium. Its description in RNAcentral is "bacterial SSU rRNA". It matches the Rfam family "Bacterial small subunit ribosomal RNA", at positions 29 to 429 of the family's 1533-position model. The record is from RNAcentral.